This 253-nucleotide ribosomal RNA is filed under the name uncultured bacterium. RNAcentral's name for it is "partial 16S ribosomal RNA". It matches the Rfam family "Bacterial small subunit ribosomal RNA", at positions 524 to 776 of the family's 1533-position model. The record is from RNAcentral.
UACGAAGGGGGCUAGCGUUGCUCGGAAUCACUGGGCGUAAAGCGCACGUAGGCGGCUUUUUAAGUCAGGGGUGAAAUCCUGGAGCUCAACUCCAGAACUGCCCUUGAUACUGAGAGGCUUGAGUCCGGGAGAGGUGAGUGGAACUGCGAGUGUAGAGGUGAAAUUCGUAGAUAUUCGCAAGAACACCUGUGGCGAAGGCGGCCGACUGGGCCGACCCUGACGCUGAGGCGCGAAGGCGUGGGGAGCGAACGGG